This is a long non-coding RNA of Quercus robur (English oak), 217 nucleotides long. RefSeq lists it as uncharacterized. The record is from RefSeq and is a predicted model, not a curated record. NCBI's taxonomy places the organism in Eukaryota, Viridiplantae, Streptophyta, Magnoliopsida, Fagales, Fagaceae. The transcript is spliced from 2 exons.
GCUUUCUUUAUCAUAAAUUGAUACAAUAUAUCACAAAGUAACAUUUAUUAUUUCUUUAAAAACCAUUUAUUGUUUGGAAUUGAUGAUAAAUAUAUCAAAAAAUUAAUUGGUAGCUUGGUUGAAUAGGUUAAAAUCGUAUUGUGUGUGUAUCAUUGUCAUGGUAGCAAUUCAGAAAGAAAGAAAAAAAAAAGAUCAUCUUCAUGGUUUCAAUUUCCCU